AGCGAACGUUAGCGGCGCGCCUAACACAUGCAAGUCGCACGAGAAACGGAGCAAUCCGCGGUACAGUGGCGCACGGGUGAGUAACACGUGGAUGACCUUCCCUGGAGUGGUGGAUAACCUGCCGAAAGGCGGGCUAAUACAGCAUGGGACCACGACUCUUUGGCGAUGUGGUGAAAGCGGGCCUCUAUAUAUAAGCUCGCGCUCCGGGACGGGUCCGCGUCCCAUCAGCUAGUUGGUGAGGUAACGGCUCACCAAGGCAACGACGGGUAGCUGGUCUGAGAGGAUGGCCAGCCACACUGGAACUGAGACACGGUCCAGACUCCUACGGGAGGCAGCAGUGGGGAAUCUUGCGCAAUGGGCGAAAGCCUGACGCAGCGACGCCGCGUGGGCGAAGAAGGCCUCGGUUGUAA
Molecule: ribosomal RNA, 410 nt
Filed under: uncultured bacterium
Lineage: Bacteria
Description: bacterial SSU rRNA
Rfam family: Bacterial small subunit ribosomal RNA
Source: RNAcentral